GACGAACGCUGGCGGCGUGCCUAAUACAUGCAAGUAGAACGCUGAAGGAGGAGCUUGCUUCUCUGGAUGAGUUGCGAACGGGUGAGUAACGCGUAGGUAACCUGCCUGGUAGCGGGGGAUAACUAUUGGAAACGAUAGCUAAUACCGCAUAAUAGUAGAUGUUGCAUGACAUUUGCUUAAAGGUGCAAUUGCAUCACUACCAGAUGGACCUGCGUUGUAUUAGCUAGUUGGUGGGGUAACGGCUCACCAAGGCGACGAUACAUAGCCGACCUGAGAGGGUGAUCGGCCACACUGGGACUGAGACACGGCCCAGACUCCUACGGGAGGCAGCAGUAGGGAAUCUUCGGCAAUGGACGGAAGUCUGACCGAGCAACGCCGCGUGAGUGAAGAAGGUUUUCGGAUCGUAAAGCUCGGUUGUAAGAGAAGAACGAGUGUGAGAGUGGAAAGUUCACACUGUGACGGUAUCUUACCAGAAAGAGACGGCUAACUACGUG
RNAcentral lists this ribosomal RNA (494 nucleotides) under uncultured bacterium. RNAcentral's name for it is "partial 16S ribosomal RNA". It matches the Rfam family "Bacterial small subunit ribosomal RNA", at positions 28 to 507 of the family's 1533-position model. The record is from RNAcentral.